CGGGUGGUAAUGCCGGAUGUUCCACAUGAUCGCAUGUGAUUGUGGGAAAGAUUUCAUCGGCGUGGGAUGGGGUCGCGUCCUAUCAGCUUGUUGGUGAGGUAACGGCUCACCAAGGCUUCGACGGGUAGCCGGCCUGAGAGGGCGACCGGCCACAUUGGGACUGAGAUACGGCCCAGACUCCUACGGGAGGCAGCAGUGGGGAAUAUUGCACAAUGGGCGCAAGCCUGAUGCAGCGACGCCGCGUGAGGGAUGGAGGCCUUCGGGUUGUAAACCUCUUUUGUUUGGGAGCAAGCCUUCGGGUGAGUGUACCUUUCGAAUAAGCGCCGGCUAACUACGUGCCAGCAGCCGCGGUAAUACGUAGGGCGCAAGCGUUAUCCGGAUUUAUUGGGCGUAAAGGGCUCGUAGGCGGCUCGUCGCGUCCGGUGUGAAAGUCCAUCGCUUAACGGUGGAUCUGCGCCGGGUACGGGCGGGCUGGAGUGCGGUAGGGGAGACUGGAAUUCCCGGUGUAACGGUGGAAUGUGUAGAUA
Molecule: ribosomal RNA, 527 nt
Filed under: Bifidobacterium bifidum
Lineage: Bacteria; Bacillati; Actinomycetota; Actinomycetes; Bifidobacteriales; Bifidobacteriaceae
Description: bacterial SSU rRNA
Rfam family: Bacterial small subunit ribosomal RNA
Source: RNAcentral